This 185-nucleotide RNase P RNA is filed under the name Roseomonas sp. DSM 102946. RNAcentral's name for it is "partial RNase P RNA component class A". It matches the Rfam family "Bacterial RNase P class A", at positions 1 to 160 of the family's 367-position model. Rfam says of the family: Ribonuclease P (RNase P) is a ubiquitous endoribonuclease, found in archaea, bacteria and eukarya as well as chloroplasts and mitochondria. Its best characterised activity is the generation of mature 5'-ends of tRNAs by cleaving the 5'-leader elements of precursor-tRNAs. Lineage: Bacteria; Pseudomonadati; Pseudomonadota; Alphaproteobacteria; Acetobacterales; Roseomonadaceae. The record is from RNAcentral.
CCAGAUGGUCGGACGGCCGCGGUUCGGGCGCAGCCCGAAUCGAGGAAAGUCCGGGCUCCACGGAAAAGCGGUGCCGGCUAACGGCCGGCGGGGGUCAAACCCCAGGGAAAGUGCCACAGAAAACAGACCGCCCGGCCGGACCGGCACCCCCGUGGUGCCGCAACCCUGCCGGGUAAGGGUGAAAG